CAAGUCAACCUAAAUGCAACGUGCACGAUUUCAGCUGUCCAGAUUGAGAAGCUGAUACCAGAUUUCUACUAAAAUGCAAUACUGAGACCAGUAGAAGGUGGGGAAACCACUGUUUGCCCCUAUAUAAGGAUGGAACCGAGUCAUGGUGGGUAUACCAGUGAGGUAGCGACAACCAUUGAGUCCGAAAUGAUGGUGAGCAUAGGAGAGUUUGAAAGCGGGCAACAACAAGCAGCAAGGAAGCAGCCAAGUUGUUUUUCAUUAUGAAGUCCACGUUGAGAAGCUUAGGUUCCACCUUGGAUUCAUGUGCUGAACACAAAGCCACGGAAGAACCUGCAAGGAACAAAAUACAAACAAACUAAGCAAUAGAGUUAUUGAAAGGAAUGUACCUAUGAAUGGCAUGAGCAUGUGUUCAAUCCAUAGACAAACUUAUUUCUUUCAAUUGACGUUAUUUAAUCAUGCAGCAACACAGCACAAAAUGCAUUAAGCUAAGGUGCAUGGUAGAAGCGUGACAUUCGAUUAUUUCAUGAGCUUAAGGAGAUUUGGCAAGGCCAAUGCUACUUGCCAUCCCAUUUUAUAUGUCCGGGGCAGGUAGAACACUCACAUUGGGCUAUAAGUCCCAGUAUAUCUUCUGGGAAAAACUAUAGUGGGUCUUAUCAUUGAUUUGUUUCCUUACCUAACUAUGGAACAAUAUAGCCACCCAAAAAGACCAACGAUUCCAAGCUUGGAAAGUAGCAAUCACCAAGUCAGGUAUUACUAAUUAGUUUCCUCACCUAAAUGGAAGACUAUACCAUCACCUAAGAAACAUGAUGUUGUUCCAAGCUUGGAAACUAAAAAGUUGCUACAGACAUGCAUAAGUUUGGUGUGAGGUGCCAGCAACAUACCUAAACAAAGCUUCUUCCAAAAUUGGAAAUGUCAGCACCAGGCAGAAGAUACAACCAGCUUUCUGCUCUUCCAACCAAGAUAAAGGACACCAUCCCUCUCCUCAAGUCUGUAGUAGCUGUGGUAACUAUCCAGCAGUGUUUUGAUGGUACUGUUCACCACUGGACUUAAUGGGUAUGGUCUAAAUCCAGCCAUUGCAAGCCUUGCCCUCCAUUUUCCGAAAGGCUCAUGCCUUUCUAUUCUUUCAGCACCUUCACAAGCAAUUAAAUUGACAAUAUCUCUUGCAACACAGUGCUGCUCUGCGCUAAUGCGCUUCUUAUCAUCCCUGGGGCGAGCAACAUCUAUCGCCUCAAACAUCGCUGUGUAAUAAUCAAGAGUCUCCAGGUAUCUAAGAAAGAAAGGUGCCGUGUUUGUAUUUGCCUCCUGCUCUACGAGAGUCACCACCCUAGGAGAGAGGCUCUUGACCAUUCUCAAUAUCCUAUCACGAUGGUUUUCUAUGCCCACACUCUCAUCAGGAGUAUGAUGCAGCUGAUAAGCAAAAUUGACAACAAUUGCCUCCCCAGGUCUUACACAAAGAUGUUCAUACAUAACUUCAUGACUAGCUGCUGGAACAGGAUUGAACUCAAAGGGCAGACCACAUGACUGGGCAAUGCUGUGUAACCUCUGUCCAACUAUAUCCAGUCCACCACCUCGGGCAUGAGCAGAAUUUGAGUCAUCUAUGCCAGUGAUUCUUAGGUAUGGUCGUCUCCCAGGCCUUGAAGCAAGGGCCUGGAUCAUAGUCAUCCACUGACUCCCCUGAGCGAUUUGGAAAUCAAUGAUGUGAAUAAAGUUUUCACCCUUAACAGCAUCAGCUAUGGCACCAUUGGCAGACAUGUAACCAAACUUAAAGAAUGGACAGAUGUCGUACAGAAGAUGCAUAUAUGACAUGAGCUCAGAACUCGUAGCCACAGGCUCUUUGCACUUCAGAGAUUUAUAUAGGGCAUGUCCAGUGAAAGAAAGCCUUGCAAUAAGACCUUCCAACAUAUAAGCUCCCAGACGUUGCAUCGGUUCACCAGAGACAGAAACCAUCUGCCUUAACUCAGACAUCAGCGCAUCCAUAUAGAAAGCAUUCUCGUCAACAGCCUUACCACAUGCUAUAAUUACCUGCCGCAAAUCCCCAGUUUUAAUUCCCAAAAGUUCUCUCCAGUUGUUCUCAUGCAAAGCAGUGCCAGGUAGUAAGGAGCUAUCAGGGCUGCCUAUGUCAGAAUCAGGUCCAAGCAUUACAUUUUCUAGAUCCUUAAGUGUCCAACUCGGGACCUGAGUAACACACGACGCACUUGGAGAGGAACCAUAUGCAUGAUCUGAGUGGCUCUCUUGCUGAGACAGAGGACUCCCACUUAUGCUCUGAGAAGAGGUAGAGCUAUGUGCAGGAUAAACACAAUUGGCUGAGGACGAGUCUAGGGUGCAGU
RNAcentral lists this long non-coding RNA (2327 nucleotides) under Setaria viridis. RNAcentral describes it as "long non-coding RNA (SVIR_LNC011407)". Lineage: Eukaryota; Viridiplantae; Streptophyta; Magnoliopsida; Poales; Poaceae. The record is from RNAcentral.